UACGGAGGAUGCAAGCGUUAUCCGGAAUGAUUGGGCGUAAAGCGUCCGCAGGUGGCUGUGUAAGUCUGCUGUCAAAGAGCAAAGCUCAACUUUGUAAAGGCAGUGGAAACUACACGGCUAGAGUGCGUUCGGGGCAGAGGGAAUUCCUGGUGUAGCGGUGAAAUGCGUAGAGAUCAGGAAGAACACCGGUGGCGAAGGCGCUCUGCUAGGCCGCAGCUGACACUGAGGGACGAAAGCUAGGGGAGCGAAUGGG
RNAcentral lists this ribosomal RNA (253 nucleotides) under uncultured bacterium. RNAcentral describes it as "partial 16S ribosomal RNA". It matches the Rfam family "Bacterial small subunit ribosomal RNA", at positions 524 to 776 of the family's 1533-position model. The record is from RNAcentral.